GACGAACGCUGGCGGCGUGCUUAACACAUGCAAGUCACGGGGGUCCCGCAAGGGAUAACCGGCGAACGGGUGCGUAACACGUGAACAACCUGCCCUCGUGUGGGGGAUAGCCAUGCUAACACGUGGGUAAUACCGCAUACGGUCCCUUGGGGGAGUCCCUGGGGGAAGAAAGCUCCGGCGCACGGGGAGGGGUUCGCGGCCUAUCAGCUAGUUGGGGGG
RNAcentral lists this ribosomal RNA (219 nucleotides) under uncultured bacterium. Its description in RNAcentral is "partial 16S ribosomal RNA". It matches the Rfam family "Bacterial small subunit ribosomal RNA", at positions 28 to 256 of the family's 1533-position model. The record is from RNAcentral.